This 370-nucleotide ribosomal RNA is filed under the name Enterobacter sp. CK23. RNAcentral describes it as "bacterial SSU rRNA". It matches the Rfam family "Bacterial small subunit ribosomal RNA", at positions 600 to 969 of the family's 1533-position model. The record is from RNAcentral. Lineage: Bacteria; Pseudomonadati; Pseudomonadota; Gammaproteobacteria; Enterobacterales; Enterobacteriaceae.
ACCCCGGGCUUUAACCUGGGAACUGCAUUCGAAACUGGCAGGCUAGAGUCUUGUAGAGGGGGGUAGAAUUCCAGGUGUAGCGGUGAAAUGCGUAGAGAUCUGGAGGAAUACCGGUGGCGAAGGCGGCCCCCUGGACAGAGAUGACGCUCAGGUGCGAAAGCGUGGGGAGCAAACAGGAUUAGAUACCCUGGUAGUCCACGCUGUAAACGAUGUCGACUUGGAGGUUGUGCCCUUGAGGCGUGGCUUCCGGAGCUAACGCGUUAAGUCGACCGCCUGGGGAGUACGGCCGCAAGGUUAAAACUCAAAUGAAUUGACGGGGGCCCGCACAAGCGGUGGAGCAUGUGGUUUAAUUCGAUGCAACGCGAAGAAC